Non-coding RNA from Podarcis lilfordi (Lilford's wall lizard), 843 nucleotides. The record is from the annotation of a GenBank genome assembly. Lineage: Eukaryota; Metazoa; Chordata; Lepidosauria; Squamata; Lacertidae.
UCUAGGGAGUGAACUUUUUGUUCCUCUUUUUUUUAAUAGGGCUGCAUAAAAACACACACAGCUUUCCCUCCCCAAAGAUGUAUGUACAAUUUCAAAAAUAAAUAAAAGGGUUUAUUUGAGAAGAAAUCCGACGUUCCCUCCCCGCGUAUCCAGGUAACCUUGAAAGCGUCACAUCAGAAAGUCCGGCUGAAGUUUUGGGAACGUGAAAAAAGCUAUUCAGAAGAGCAAGCUUCCCGACAGGAUAAGUCUGUACACCGCUCCGGGUGGAAUUCUAUUAUUUAUUUUUAGAAAAAGCGUCUUUCAAAUGCGGAAUCAAGGCAGGGAGCAACAUAUAUAUAUAUCUCAAGUGGUCCAGGAAGGAUCUCCCAGGGCAGCCUUCCCCAGCCAGGUGGCUGCAAAAUGUUCUGGCCUACAACUCCCGUCAGCCUUUGCAAUAUACAGCUGUGCUGGCUGCAGCUGAUGGGAGCUGUAGUCCUGAACAUCUGGAGGGCAUCAGAUUGAGGGGAGGGAGAAGGCUGGCCUAGGAAUAAAAGGGGGGGGAGGACGGGGGUGGCUGCGAUCCUUCUUACGAUCCAACAUGGAAGGAAAGGGUGCUUGCUGCCUGCUAUUGCCCAAAGGACACUUAAAAGUGCUUUUGAGGCUGCCGUUGUUGAGACAAGAACCACACUGUGGUCUCAAGCAAGCUAGGCUCUCUGCACUCCCCAUAUAGCUUCCCCUUCAUCCUCAGUUUCCCUUAUGCCCCCCCAAAUAAACCAAUCGGGGGCUUUUUCCCCAUAAAGUUUCCUGCGGCUCAACACGGCGAGCUGCUGCGGGAAACUUUCUUCCAGAGAUCCAACGAACUUG